RNAcentral lists this long non-coding RNA (205 nucleotides) under Elaeis guineensis (African oil palm). RNAcentral describes it as "long non-coding RNA (EGUI_LNC060943)". Lineage: Eukaryota; Viridiplantae; Streptophyta; Magnoliopsida; Arecales; Arecaceae. The record is from RNAcentral.
UCUGAUCAAGAGUGUUUCUCCAAUGCAGUUUGGAUUUUUAGGGCUUUAAAAGGCUCUGUGGGUGAACAGAACCAAAGACACGUUGAGAGCAGCAUGUGUGCAGUCGUAAGGAGUUUGACAAGUAGAGAGAGGCAAUAGCCAUAGGAGGCUCAGGCAGUAGUCGAGAGGAGUUCGAGAGGCAUUGAGUGCGUGUAGUGGACAGAGC